AAUCUUCAGUCUGAGUACUGGAAACAACUUCUGGCUUAUCACUUGGGAUACCGUGAAUGUUUUAUGCUUACAUGCGUAUGUUUGAAUUUUUCAAUUGCGUAAUGCUCCAUGAAAAUGGAAAUGCUACGCGGUUUGGGAGGAUGCAAUGCAAUAUGAUUCUACAUGCAGGGAUGCGAAAUGCUGGGUAGAAUGCCAAGCCGAGGCAAGGGAAUCUGCUGGGGAAAUGAUCACCAUCUUCUGGACCCUGGCAAGGCUGUUGGAAAUGCAC
RNAcentral lists this long non-coding RNA (268 nucleotides) under Lathyrus oleraceus (garden pea). Its description in RNAcentral is "Pisum sativum (pea) long non-coding RNA (PSAT_LNC025772)". The record is from RNAcentral. Lineage: Eukaryota; Viridiplantae; Streptophyta; Magnoliopsida; Fabales; Fabaceae.